RNAcentral lists this ribosomal RNA (460 nucleotides) under uncultured bacterium. RNAcentral describes it as "partial 16S ribosomal RNA". It matches the Rfam family "Bacterial small subunit ribosomal RNA", at positions 338 to 795 of the family's 1533-position model. The record is from RNAcentral.
CCUACGGGGUGCAGCAGUGAGGAAUAUUGGUCAAUGGGCGAGAGCCUGAACCAGCCAAGUCGCGUGAAGGAUGACGGCCCUACGGGUUGUAAACUUCUUUUGUCAGGGAGCAAUUGAGUCCACGUGUGGGCUUAGCGAGAGUACCUGAAGAAAAAGCAUCGGCUAACUCCGUGCCAGCAGCCGCGGUAAUACGGAGGAUGCGAGCGUUAUCCGGAUUUAUUGGGUUUAAAGGGUGCGUAGGCGGAAUAUCAAGUCAGCGGUAAAAAUUCGGGGCUCAACCCCGUCGUGCCGUUGAAACUGAUGUUCUUGAGUGGGCGAGAAGUAUGCGGAAUGCGUGGUGUAGCGGUGAAAUGCAUAGAUAUCACGCAGAACCCCGAUUGCGAAGGCAGCCUGCCAAGCCAUGACUGACGCUGAUGCACGAAAGCGUGGGGAGCAAACAGGAUUAGAUACCCCAGUAGUC